GGGGCUAUAGCUCAGUUGGUAGAGUGCUUGUCUCACAUGCACAAGGCCCUGGGUUCAAUCCCCAGCCCCA
Molecule: transfer RNA, 70 nt
Filed under: Urocitellus parryii (Arctic ground squirrel)
Lineage: Eukaryota; Metazoa; Chordata; Mammalia; Rodentia; Sciuridae
Also listed under: 2 other names
Description: Spermophilus parryii (Arctic ground squirrel) tRNA
Rfam family: tRNA
About the family: Transfer RNA (tRNA) molecules are approximately 80 nucleotides in length. Their secondary structure includes four short double-helical elements and three loops (D, anti-codon, and T loops).
Source: Rfam by way of RNAcentral